Molecule: ribosomal RNA, 311 nt
Filed under: Alasmidonta environmental sample
Lineage: Eukaryota; Metazoa; Mollusca; Bivalvia; Unionida; Unionidae
Description: partial large subunit ribosomal RNA
Rfam family: Eukaryotic large subunit ribosomal RNA
Source: RNAcentral
AUAUCAGUAAGUGGAGGAAAAGAAACUAACAAGGAUUGCCCCAGUAGCGGCGAGUGAACAGGCAAAAGCUCAAAAUGAAAAUCCGUGGCACAGAGUUACGGAAUUGUAAUCUAGAGAGGUGUUCGGAAGGCAUGGACUUCGCAUAAGUUCCUUGGAACAGGGCGUCAUAGAGGGUGAGAACCCCGUUGUCGGCGAAGUCUCGGCUGUACGAGCGCUUUCAAAGAGUCGGGUUGUUUGGGAUUGCAGCCCUAAAUGGGAGAUAAACUUCUUCUAAAGCUAAAUAUUUAUGGGAGACCGAUAGCGCACAAGUA